UACGUAGGUGGCAAGCGUUGUCCGGAUUUAUUGGGCGUAAAGCGAGUGCAGGCGGUUCAAUAAGUCUGAUGUGAAAGCCUUCGGCUCAACCGGAGAAUUGCAUCAGAAACUGUUGAACUUGAGUGCAGAAGAGGAGAGUGGAACUCCAUGUGUAGCGGUGAAAUGCGUAGAUAUUAGGAGGAACACCAGUGGCGAAGGCAGCAUACCGGCGCGCAACUGACGCUCAUGCACGAAAGCGUGGGUAUCGAACAGG
This 253-nucleotide ribosomal RNA is filed under the name uncultured Lactobacillus sp. RNAcentral's name for it is "partial 16S ribosomal RNA". It matches the Rfam family "Bacterial small subunit ribosomal RNA", at positions 524 to 776 of the family's 1533-position model. Lineage: Bacteria; Bacillati; Bacillota; Bacilli; Lactobacillales; Lactobacillaceae. The record is from RNAcentral.